This 570-nucleotide ribosomal RNA is filed under the name uncultured bacterium. Its description in RNAcentral is "bacterial SSU rRNA". It matches the Rfam family "Bacterial small subunit ribosomal RNA", at positions 388 to 975 of the family's 1533-position model. The record is from RNAcentral.
GGAGCAACGCCGCGUGCAGGAUGAAGGCCUUCGGGUUGUAAACUGCUUUUAUCUGUGACGAUUAUGACGGUAGCAGAUGAAUAAGGAUCGGCUAACUCCGUGCCAGCAGCCGCGGGUCAUACGGAGGAUCCAAGCGUUAUCCGGAAUUACUGGGCGUAAAGAGUUGCGUAGGCGGCAUUGUAAGCAGGUAGUGAAAGCGUGUGGCUCAACCAUACUCACAUUACCUGAACUGCAAAGCUAGAGGACAAGAGAGGUCACUGGAAUUCCUAGUGUAGGAGUGAAAUCCGUAGAUAUUAGGAGGAACACCGAUGGCGUAGGCAGGUGACUGGCUUGUUCCUGACGCUCAGGCACGAAAGCGUGGGUAGCAAACGGGAUUAGAUACCCCGGUAGUCCACGCCGUAAACGAUGGAUGCUAGCUGUAUUCGGUAUCGACCCCGGAUGUAGCGASUAAACGCGUUAAGCAUCCCGCCUGUGGAGUACGGUCGCAAGACUAAAACAUAAAGGAAUUGACGGGGACCGCACAAGCGUGGAGCGUGUUGUUUAAUUCGAUGGUAAACGAAGAACCUUACC